Molecule: non-coding RNA, 135 nt
Organism: Gossypium raimondii (Peruvian cotton)
Lineage: Eukaryota; Viridiplantae; Streptophyta; Magnoliopsida; Malvales; Malvaceae
Source: Rfam
CGUUAAAAUUUCAUCUAUUUAUACUAUUAAAAAUUGACGUGCUUAACAGAAUAACUAACAAGUGAUGUACCACAUGUACCUCAUGUUGAUGUACAUGGAUCAAUUUUUAACAAAAAAAUGGAGGAAAUUUUAACA